RNAcentral lists this long non-coding RNA (226 nucleotides) under Mytilus galloprovincialis (Mediterranean mussel). The record is from RNAcentral. Lineage: Eukaryota; Metazoa; Mollusca; Bivalvia; Mytilida; Mytilidae.
GUCCGAAGACAUUUGGUUUUCGCACUCUAACUUUAGUAAAAGUAUAUAGAAAUCUAUGAAAUUUAAACACAAGGUUUAUGACCAUAAAAGGAAGGUUGGGAUUGAUUUUGGGUGUUUUGGUCCCAGCAGUUUAGGAAUAAGGGGUCAAAAGGGCCCAAAUAAGCAUUUUUCUUGGUUUUCACACAAUAACUUUAGUAAAAGUGAACAGAAAUCUAUGAAAUUUUAA